This 202-nucleotide ribosomal RNA is filed under the name uncultured bacterium. RNAcentral's name for it is "partial 16S ribosomal RNA". It matches the Rfam family "Bacterial small subunit ribosomal RNA", at positions 524 to 722 of the family's 1533-position model. The record is from RNAcentral.
UACGUAGGGCGCGAGCGUUGUCCGGAAUUAUUGGGCGUAAAGAGCUCGUAGGCGGCCUGUUGCGUCCGCAUGUGAAAUCCCAGGGCUCAACCCUGGGCGUGCCAGUGGAUACGGGCAGGCUGGAGGCAGGCGAGGGAGAACGGAAUUCCCGGUGGUAGCGGUGAAAUGCGCAGAUAUCGGGAGGAACACCGGUGGCGAAGGC